Molecule: transfer RNA, 72 nt
Filed under: Ectinorhynchus sp. LRC-2002
Lineage: Eukaryota; Metazoa; Arthropoda; Insecta; Diptera; Therevidae
Description: tRNA-Lys
Source: RNAcentral
CAUUAGAUGACUGAAAGUAAGUAUUGGUCUCUUAAACCAUCACAUAGUAAUAGUAACGUUUACUUCUAAUGA